Molecule: transfer RNA, 77 nt
Filed under: Erysipelotrichaceae bacterium
Lineage: Bacteria; Bacillati; Bacillota; Erysipelotrichia; Erysipelotrichales; Erysipelotrichaceae
Also listed under: 1 other name
Description: tRNA-Pro
Rfam family: tRNA
About the family: Transfer RNA (tRNA) molecules are approximately 80 nucleotides in length. Their secondary structure includes four short double-helical elements and three loops (D, anti-codon, and T loops).
Source: RNAcentral
CGGGAUGUAGCACAGUUUGGUAGUGCGCUUGGUUCGGGACCAAGAGGUCGCAGGUUCAAUUCCUGUCAUUCCGACCA